Molecule: ribosomal RNA, 497 nt
Filed under: uncultured bacterium
Lineage: Bacteria
Description: partial 16S ribosomal RNA
Rfam family: Bacterial small subunit ribosomal RNA
Source: RNAcentral
GAUGAACGCUGGCGGCGUGCCUAAUACAUGCAAGUCGAGCGAACGGACGAGAAGCUUGCUUCUCUGAUGUUAGCGGCGGACGGGUGAGUAACACGUGGAUAACCUACCUAUAAGACUGGGAUAACUUCGGGAAACCGGAGCUAAUACCGGAUAAUAUUUUGAACCGCAUGGUUCAAAAGUGAAAGACGGUCUUGCUGUCACUUAUAGAUGGAUCCGCGCUGCAUUAGCUAGUUGGUAAGGUAACGGCUUACCAAGGCAACGAUGCAUAGCCGACCUGAGAGGGUGAUCGGCCACACUGGAACUGAGACACGGUCCAGACUCCUACGGGAGGCAGCAGUAGGGAAUCUUCCGCAAUGGGCGAAAGCCUGACGGAGCAACGCCGCGUGAGUGAUGAAGGUCUUCGGAUCGUAAAACUCUGUUAUUAGGGAAGAACAUAUGUGUAAGUAACUGUGCACAUCUUGACGGUACCUAAUCAGAAAGCCACGGCUAACUACGGU